AUAGAACCUGAUGAUUUUAAAAAUACUAUUGCAGAAAUUCAAUAGUAAACUAUGAAACCAAAUCCACAGCUAUUUUUUUUUUUAACAGAUAAAAGCUGUAUGACUUGGGUGGAGUAGCCUAUAGAAAUUAGCUUGGCUGAAGCACUACAGUGAGAAUCUAUGUUUGGCUGAGAAUAACCUUGGAUUAUAUCCUAUGUGCAAGCUAACUUGUUUAGUCAUGGAUGCUGGCAAAAGAUACGAGGCUUGGGUCAGAAACAAAGGAACUUCUUACUCUCAUGACAUAGCAAGCAGUUUAAGCUUUGUACUUACUUUGGAUUGCUCUGUUUAUCUCCAAGCACCACUAACAUAAUUAGAAUGGCCCAAUGCAGGGAAUUUGUGUUAUACAGUCAACGAACCCUGAAUCUGAGAAACCUCAACUUUGCCCGAGAGAGAGACAUUGUCCUUACUAUUCUCAACAACAGACAAACCUGCCUCUCCUCCAAAUGGAAAUACAAUCUUUAUUAUGUUUCAAGGCUGUUUGCUAUACAAAUAUCUUUGAAAAGAUAGUCUGGAACGAAAGCUGUCAAUGCUUCUGCUCAGAAAACAUAUGGAAACCCAACAUUCAUAAAGAGUUGUCUCCAACAGAAACUGUGCCCAUCAAGACCUGGC
Molecule: long non-coding RNA, 648 nt
Filed under: Homo sapiens (human)
Lineage: Eukaryota; Metazoa; Chordata; Mammalia; Primates; Hominidae
Description: HSALNT0075069
Source: RNAcentral